RNAcentral lists this transfer RNA (420 nucleotides) under uncultured cyanobacterium. Its description in RNAcentral is "16S-23S ribosomal RNA intergenic spacer". The stretch from base 198 to 270 matches the Rfam family "tRNA". Lineage: Bacteria; Bacillati; Cyanobacteriota. The record is from RNAcentral.
AAGGGAGACCUACCCGAUUGACUCAGAGCAAAUUUUAUAGCUGUGAGCGAUUGAGGUCACUCUAGGUCGUAGCAGGGCUUGAUAUCUCAGACUAUUGUUUAGGUUAAACGAGGCUGGGGCUAUUAGCUCAGGUGGUUAGAGCGCACCCCUGAUAAGGGUGAGGUCCCUGGUUCGAGUCCAGGAUGGCCCACUGUGAUGGGGGUAUAGCUCAGUUGGUAGAGCGCCUGCUUUGCAAGCAGGAUGUCAGCGGUUCGAGUCCGCUUACCUCCACCAAAGAGACGAGAUAGCUAAGAAUUAAAUUCAGCACCUUGUCGUUGUAGAUAAGCUGCUGGGCUUAGGUCUAGCGAGAACCUUGACAACUGCAUAGAUUAGUCGAAAUGGUAGUUCGACAGAUGAGACUCUUAGUAUAAGUGACUGAAA